UGAGCUCGAUGAGUAGGGCGGGACACGUGGUAUCCUGUCUGAAUAUGGGGGGCCCAUCCUCCAAGGCUAAAUACUCCUGACUGACCGAUAGUGAACCAGUACCGUGAGGGAAAGGCGAAAAGAACCCCGGCGAGGGGAGUGAAAAAGAACCUGAAACCGUGUACGUACAAGCAGUGGGAGCACGCUUAGGCGUGUGACUGCGUACCUUUUGUAUAAUGGGUCAGCGACUUAUAUUCUGUAGCAAGGUUAACCGAAUAGGGGAGCCGAAGGGAAACCGAGUCUUAACUGGGCGUUAAGUUGCAGGGUAUAGACCCGAAACCCGGUGAUCUAGCCAUGGGCAGGUUGAAGGUUGGGUAACACUAACUGGAGGACCGAACCGACUAAUGUUGAAAAAUUAGCGGAUGACUUGUGGCUGGGGGUGAAAGGCCAAUCAAACCGGGAGAUAGCUGGUUCUCCCCGAAAGCUAUUUAGGUAGCGCCUCGUGAAUUCAUCUCCGGGGGUAGAGCACUGUUUCGGCAAGGGGGUCAUCCCGACUUACCAACCCGAUGCAAACUGCGAAUACCGGAGAAUGUUAUCACGGGAGACACACGGCGGGUGCUAACGUCCGUCGUGAAGAGGGAAACAACCCAGACCGCCAGCUAAGGUCCCAAAGUCAUGGUUAAGUGGGAAACGAUGUGGGAAGGCCCAGACAGCCAGGAUGUUGGCUUAGAAGCAGCCAUCAUUUAAAGAAAGCGUAAUAGCUCACUGGUCGAGUCGGCCUGCGCGGAAGAUGUAACGGGGCUAAACCAU
Molecule: ribosomal RNA, 789 nt
Filed under: Shigella sonnei
Lineage: Bacteria; Pseudomonadati; Pseudomonadota; Gammaproteobacteria; Enterobacterales; Enterobacteriaceae
Description: partial 23S ribosomal RNA
Rfam family: Bacterial large subunit ribosomal RNA
Source: RNAcentral